AAAAUUCAUUGGCCGUCGGUCAUAUUCCAAACAGCUUAUGCUGGUGACCGGCUUGACCACCCACAUUAUGUGAACCGAACUGUCUCUGGCGGGUGGGUAGCAGCAAAAACUGCUACUUGUCAGCAAAUGCGCUUGCAUUUGCCGUGGACACCCCGCCAACCAGGUCCUACACCUUUAUUAUCUUUUGAUGUCUGACAUAACAUGUAUUAAUAUACAAAA
This 219-nucleotide unclassified non-coding RNA is filed under the name uncultured Chytridiomycota. Its description in RNAcentral is "sequence contains ITS1". The record is from RNAcentral. Lineage: Eukaryota; Fungi; Chytridiomycota.